Molecule: ribosomal RNA, 305 nt
Filed under: Cyclocybe erebia
Lineage: Eukaryota; Fungi; Basidiomycota; Agaricomycetes; Agaricales; Hemipholiotaceae
Description: partial small subunit ribosomal RNA
Source: RNAcentral
CCGUGAUGAACUAACCGUCUGUCGCUGGGGAGGAGUUCCGAUUGGGAAAUUGCCCCUUUAAUAAAUAUGAAGAACAGAAGUAUACACUAUAUAAAAGUAUUAUAAAUACCCUUUAUAUUUUUAUGUUUAAUUGAUUUUACAUUUUUUAACCAUAAGUUAAUUAUUUUUAAUUAAGUGUAGUUAUUCUUAAUUGUUACUAAUGUAACUUUAUAUAGUAAUUUAACUAUUUUGUUAAGAUUUAUUAAUAUCGAUUAACCCUUCUGAGUAACAUCUCAAAAGUCAUAGCAAGGUAGCUUGUACUGGAA